UUGUUUUUGCUUCUGUUCGGUAAUGCAUUGCUAAUUGCUAGGGGAGGCUAGGGAUAGCAAGCCGGUAAUUCAUAAUAGGCUCUUUUCGCCGAGGGAUCGGGUUAAGGGUAGGCCAAGAAAGUUUGCAUAACAAUUCGAUAAUCAAGCACAUUAAACAAGAGGAGUAGACAAGAUGGAGCGGAUAAGAUGAAAUUGUCAACCCCCAACAACUUCAUUCAUCCAUAGUCUUUUUCGUCAAUUGAAUCAAAUAUAUUG
RNAcentral lists this long non-coding RNA (255 nucleotides) under Vigna radiata. RNAcentral describes it as "long non-coding RNA (VRAD_LNC006085)". Lineage: Eukaryota; Viridiplantae; Streptophyta; Magnoliopsida; Fabales; Fabaceae. The record is from RNAcentral.